AAAUAAGAAGCAAUUUGCAUUUAAUUUCGACUUAAAAGACAGAGUUAAAAUAACUCCUUAUUUA
Molecule: transfer RNA, 64 nt
Filed under: Fabriciana nerippe
Lineage: Eukaryota; Metazoa; Arthropoda; Insecta; Lepidoptera; Nymphalidae
Description: tRNA-Arg
Source: RNAcentral